Molecule: ribosomal RNA, 217 nt
Filed under: uncultured bacterium
Lineage: Bacteria
Description: partial 16S ribosomal RNA
Rfam family: Bacterial small subunit ribosomal RNA
Source: RNAcentral
UGACGAAGGGGGCUAGCGUUGCUCGGAAUGAACUGGGCGUAAAGGGCGCGUAGGCGGACGAUCUUUGUCGGGCGUGAAAUCCAGGCUUAACCUUGGGGCUGCGUUCGAGACGGGGUGUCUUGAGUGGGGAAGAGGGUCGUGGAAUUCCCAGUGUAGAGGUGAAAUUCGUAGAUAUUGGGAAGAACACCGGUGGCGAAGGCGGCGACCUGGUCCUUGA